This is a long non-coding RNA of Perca fluviatilis (European perch), 4015 nucleotides long. RefSeq lists it as uncharacterized. NCBI's taxonomy places the organism in Eukaryota, Metazoa, Chordata, Actinopteri, Perciformes, Percidae. The record is from RefSeq and is a predicted model, not a curated record. The transcript has 7 exons.
UUUAUGUCUUUUAUAUUUACUAAAAUCCUACUGUUUUUCUUUAAUGGAGCUUCCCAGUAAAGGUAUUUCACUGGUUAGCUUUUUAGUAUAUUGUUUUGAUUUUACAUUUUGCAGUCAGAUGUUCUCAUCAACUUGCUGAGGGGCAGACAAGCUGUGAUAAGUCUCACAUUGCCAGACAGAUCUCCACAGCACUGCGGAGAAAGGAAGCUGUGAUAAACCCACAAACAAAAUUCUUGGCCCUGUUAAAGGGCAUUCUCUAUGGGCCCCUCCCAGCAUCCACAGCCAUUCAUUUUAUCAUCUUGUUGGGCCUUAUGGGUACUCAGUCCCCUUUGCCCCCCAGUCCGACGCCCCUGCCCACAAAUAGCAAACAGUAAUCAAGUGACGGUUGACAGCUGCACCAAUGCUGGACUUCUAUUCAUCCGGUGGCUGGAAACACACUGUUGCUCCAAUGUUUGUUGAAUAGGUAGAUCAUUGUUUGCAUCAUGAGGGCAUUUUAUGUCAGCUAAUUUGAUGUGUUUCUGCCACCUAGUGGAAGGUUUUCAGAACAACAAAUACAUUGCAUUUCUCUGACUUCAGAAUCAGAAUAAGGAUGUGUAGACAUAAAAGGAUUUUGAUUUGGUUUUAGAUUGAUCUCAAUGUAGCUACUUGCACACAACAUUUCCAACAUUUUACAGGAAGAUAGAAAAAGCUAAAAACAAGGUCAAUAAGCUAAAAAACAAAAAUAUACAACUAUUUCAUACAAGUGCAUGAAAAAAGGUGUAUACACACUAAAAACUCCUGGGUUAUUUUGUCAACCCAGUUUCUGGGUUAUUUGUGUUGGGUUAAAAUUAUGGGUUAUUUUUUCAGAGAGUAACUCAUUUUCUGGGUUAUAGGGCUAAUAUUUGACCCAUUGCCUGGGUUGUUUGGGUUUCUGGGUUAUUUUUCAAAGAGUAGCUAACCCAUGUUCUGGGUUAUAGGCUUGGCUUUCUCUCUCUCGCGCGCUCUCUCUCUCUACAAUGUAUUUUUCGGUUAGUUGUCUUGACAUCGGACCAGCUUAUUUUCUCCUCUAAACGACACUUUGGUUCCUGGGGCAGGGAGGCGAGGUAAGCAUUUUCAUCUUACUGGUAGUUUGUUGCAGAAAAUGUGCUUGUUUAAACCGUGCUUCUAAAAUAAACUAUCUUACGUUCCAUUAGCUAACUUAACUAGCUAGCUACCUAGCUUGCUUGUGAAGAGUAACUGACAUUUACGUUUUUUCAAAGGAGUUGUUAAUGGAGACAUGUCAAUGCUGUAUCGUUGUUAUCUAUCUAUCUAGCGCUAUGUCUGUUUGCACAUUAAAAUAAACGUUAUCUAAGUAGCUAGCUAAGUAAGUUAUCGGUUUUCUUUUUUAUUAAGAUGUAUCUGAGUCACUGUAUGCUAAAUUGGCUGGCUAGCUAGCUAGCUAGCCAGCCAAUGUAGCCAGGUUAAUGAUACCACAAAUGUUAGCACGCUAAAACGUAGAUAACAUUGAUUUAGCUCGGUUUAAGAAGAUGUUUAUGAAUAAAACGUUACUAACGAUAGCUAAUCCACCGACCGUUAGAAAUGUACGGACAUUAUUAUUAUUGGAUAUUUUCUUGCUGAAAAGUGAACAGAAAAAGGAGGGAAAUUUGUAUUCAGCUAUGACGUAGCCUAUUUUGAAUGCUCACGUUUCCACGUUGGAUGUAUUUUUAAUUGUUUGUUAACGUUACUAAAAGUUAUGUAUUAAGUACUUUAUGUAGUUCCUUUUAAAUAAAAAAUGCAAAAAUGUAAUGCUGACAAAUCGCCGGUUCCCGCCCGGGGCUGUGGUGUACCUCAGAUUUAUACACAACUCCCUGGAAGUUAUCUCUGUACAUUUAUUUUUAAGGAUGAAUAUACAGAAAAAAUGUGUAGAGUAGAUUACACUCGUUUUUAAAGGAGGGAAAUUUGGGAGGGAAAAUCUAUUUUUUUUUUUUUUAGGUAUAACCUUUUACAUAAAUCAGGCUUUGAAUUAUAUAUGAAUUAAUCCCUAAUGUAAAAACCUUAACAAUAUAGAGAGGAAGGAAACAAAUAGACAGGGUAAAAUAAACAUGUAAUUGUGUAUCUGUUUUUUGUAAUAGUCUGAAAGAAGAAAAAUAGCCCUCAGCCUCAGCAGCAUCAGCCUCCUCCUCAACACACACAGGAGCAGCUAGACCCUGUUGGGGAGCAGCCUCCGUUCAUGCUGCUGGACCAGAGUCAGGAACAAACCUGAAAAACCUCUUCCGGGGCAGUGGACGUAGCCCUGGAAUAAGGAACCUGAAAUUCCCUCCUUCAAUUGAAGACCUCCAGGACUACCAGCGGUACCAUGAGGGCAGCUGCCCCCCUUCCAAGCAGCUGGAAAAUGCACAGUCCAAAGUGUCGAGGGUCAGGUCUUUUAUAUUUUACCUGGCAAAGGGACAGACUGAAUUGUUCAGUUUGCUAUUUUAAGGAACAUUGAUGGCAUCCAAAAAUACACAGCCCACCUCCAGUCCCCAGGCAAGACCAUCACAACGGCACAUUUCUACCUGAGAACCAUACAGCAGUUCCUCAAAUACUUUCGGGAAACCCUGCCUGCCCAGUCUCACCUGACUGCGAUGGAUGUGGUGAGCGUGCUGCGCCCCGUCACAAAGUGCAUCACAGACACAACCAGGAACGUUGUCCUGCACCUGCUGGCAGUGAAAAGCCACAAGAAGGCCAGGAUAAUAUCCUGCGAGGACCUGAAGCGGUGUCAGGAGGGGGCCACACUGAGGAUCCCAGAGCUGCUGGACGCCCUGGAGGAGAACCACACACCGUCGCCGCGGUACCGUUUUUACAGCUACUUUGCGGCUUUCACAGCCUCCAUUACGGUCAUUGCCCAGGGGGAUUGGUAACCUCCGGGUUUGCGAGGUCAAAGAGGCCGCAGAGGCGCACAGGCCUGGCGAUGAUGGUUUUGUGAUCUCUAUCAGGGAACACAAGACUAACAAGUCCUUUGGGGUGGCCCAAAUGUUCUUAGAGACUGACGAGUUUCGAUGGCUGGUUCGGUGGCUGCAGCUACGGGUGGCCAGCAAGCCACCGAACCAGCUGGUUUUCUUCACGGCUGGGAAGGGCCCAUGCUAAAACUUCUUGCACCACCUGCAGGUAGCGUGGGCGGAGAUCUGCCUUAAAGGGUCCCCCAACUUCACUGACCUGAGGACCGCUGUGUCUGCUCAUGUCAAGAACAACCUUCUGUCGGGCAGCAGAAGAUGGUGGCCACCUUUAUGUGCCACAACAUGGCCACCGCUGACUGCUUCUACGCCCUCAGCCUGAACGUGGCCCAGUCUAAGAGGAUGAGGGAGCAUUUCCGCUAAGCCCUGACCCACACCGCGCCAUCACCGGAGCAACCAGAAGCCUCCCCCUCCUCCCCCACCAGGAAGAGUUACCGCAAGCCUGAGUCCUCCUCCAGUUCCAAGACAAAACCCCUGCCCCCUACCAGGAGUCAGGGACCUCGGGACUGGAGAAGGAGAGGGAGUUUAUGGCGAGGCUGCAAAAUACACCAGAGAAGGCCCGAGAAGUCUCGUGAACACGCCAGUGUGCUUCAACCUAACUUGUGUGGUGGGAAAUGUCUUCAGCCACACCGGAAAAUAAGUUUUGUUUUUAAUACUUUGCUUUUGUAUGAGCUGGAUUAUACAGUACACCAAACGUAUUAUGAAUAAAACAACAUGGAUAUUCCAUUACUAUGGGUUCUUACUGACAUUUCAGGACCAUUUAUGACGGGUCGGGAUAUUGCCAUCCUUGUGUAACCCAGACUAAAAGGUACACAGGCAUAGAUUCACAAGGGAGUGGAGGGGGGCAUUUUAUAGCAUUUUGAUAAGAUGCAUAGUGAUAUUAAUCAAAUACAGUAAUGCACACAAAAGAAAUCUAUGGUUUCUAUGGGAGAAAAACAAACAUUAUGUACAUUAGCCAUGCCCUACAGGAAUUGGGAUUUUGUACGUUGAUACAUUUUGAAACCACUACAUGAUGUAUGUUCUAAUGUCUAAGUUUUACAUAAAUUAAAUAAUUUGCACAUAUA